GGACCGUUAGCUCAGCGGUGAGAGCGCCCGGCUCAUAACCGGGUGGUCUGGGGUUCGAAUCCCUGACGGUCCA
This 73-nucleotide transfer RNA is filed under the name Caudoviricetes sp. Its description in RNAcentral is "tRNA-Met". It matches the Rfam family "tRNA". From Rfam's summary of the family: Transfer RNA (tRNA) molecules are approximately 80 nucleotides in length. The record is from RNAcentral. Lineage: Duplodnaviria; Heunggongvirae; Uroviricota; Caudoviricetes.